Long non-coding RNA from Nerophis ophidion (straightnose pipefish), 708 nucleotides. RefSeq lists it as uncharacterized. Lineage: Eukaryota; Metazoa; Chordata; Actinopteri; Syngnathiformes; Syngnathidae. The transcript has 4 exons. The record is from RefSeq and is a predicted model, not a curated record.
GGUUGACUUCCGGUAUUCGUCCGAAAGCAAGUCGCACAUGUUGCCGUCCUACACAAAGCAGCCUCGAAGCAAUGCCUUAAAGUUCACCUGACGCUCAGAGUUACGUGGUGCACCUGAACGCCUCAUCGCAUGAACAGCAAGCAUGGAGACUGCAGGGAGAAAGCCGUGUUAAAUCAACAGUGGCGACUUAUCCAGGGUGUCCCCGCCUUUCUCCCGAAUGCAGCAGAGACAGGCUCCAGCACCCCCCGCAACCCUAUGACUGUGGAGAGGUGGAGCCGACGGUCCGACGGCGGGGCAGGGCAUGCUAAAGCCCUGCCCAAGGUGGCGGCAAGGAGGCGGAGAAUGCGGCUGAGCGGAGAGGCGGGGCGUGCCGGGAGCGACGCCGCAAUCUAAUUCAGGUGCGUCGAUUACGCGCCGGCAGACGAUUAACUUAUCUCCUCACACUGUAUAAAAGGGGAGAAGGAGGAGAGAUCGAGGCAGAAAGAGGAGAGUCCGCAGCUGAUGCAGCGCAAGAGCGACAGAGAGAAGACAAAAGCGACCGAAGAGCGAGCAGCAGAGGAGGAGCUGAAAAGCAACCCGGCAAGAGAGCUUAAUUUGGAAAAAAUAAAAAGAGUCAAACCUGCUCAAAGCCAUGUCCUUCCUGAGUGGUCCAUGGAACCCGCACGACGACAGCAAGGAACUGUCACAAUGACAAAGCAAAUUGGUGUA